This 468-nucleotide ribosomal RNA is filed under the name uncultured bacterium. RNAcentral describes it as "partial 16S ribosomal RNA". It matches the Rfam family "Bacterial small subunit ribosomal RNA", at positions 28 to 507 of the family's 1533-position model. The record is from RNAcentral.
GACGAACGCUGGCGGCGUGCUUAACACAUGCAAGUCGAACGGAAAGGCCCUGCUUUUGUGGGGUGCUCGAGUGGCGAACGGGUGAGUAACACGUGAGUAACCUGCCCUUGACUUUGGGAUAACUUCAGGAAACUGGGGCUAAUACCGGAUAGGAGCUCCUGCUGCAUGGUGGGGGUUGGAAAGUUUCGGCGGUUGGGGAUGGACUCGCGGCUGAUCAGCUUGUUGGUGGGGUAGUGGCUUACCAAGGCUUUGACGGGUAGCCGGCCUGAGAGGGUGACCGGCCACAUUGGGACUGAGAUACGGCGCAGACUCCUACGGGAGGCAGCAGUGGGGAAUAUUGCACAAUGGGCGGAAGCCUGAUGCAGCAACGCCGCGUGCGGGAUGACGGCCUUCGGGUUGUAAACCGCUUUCGCCUGUGACGAAGCGUGAGUGACGGUAAUGGGUAAAGAAGCACCGGCUAACUACGUG